UAGGGAAUCUUCGGCAAUGGACGGAAGUCUGACCGAGCAACGCCGCGUGAGUGAAGAAGGUUUUCGGAUCGUAAAGCUCUGUUGUAAGAGAAGAACGAGUGUGAGAGUGGAAAGUUCACACUGUGACGGUAUCUUACCAGAAAGGGACGGCUAACUACGUGCCAGCAGCCGCGGUAAUACGUAGGUCCCGAGCGUUGUCCGGAUUUAUUGGGCGUAAAGCGAGUGCAGGCGGUUAGAUAAGUCUGAAGUUAAAGGCUGUGGCUUAACCAUAGUACGCUUUGGAAACUGUUUAACUUGAGUGCAAGAGGGGAGAGUGGAAUUCCAUGUGUAGCGGUGAAAUGCGUAGAUAUAUGGAGGAACACCGGUGGCGAAAGCGGCUCUCUGGCUUGUAACUGACGCUGAGGCUCGAAAGCGUGGGGAGCAAACAGGAUUAGAUACCCUGGUAGUCCACGCCGUAAACGAUGAGUGCUAGGUGUUAGACCCUUUCCGGGGUUUAGUGCCGUAGCUAACGCAUUAAGCACUCCGCCUGGGGAGUACGACCGCAAGGUUG
RNAcentral lists this ribosomal RNA (550 nucleotides) under uncultured bacterium. Its description in RNAcentral is "bacterial SSU rRNA". It matches the Rfam family "Bacterial small subunit ribosomal RNA", at positions 355 to 896 of the family's 1533-position model. The record is from RNAcentral.